GGCCGCGUGGCGAAAUGGCAUCGCGUCAGUUUCCGGUUUUACAGGCAUUGUGCCGGAUCUCUUCUCCUCUAGCUGAAGAUUGUGGGUUCGAGUCCCGUCGUGGUCG
This is a non-coding RNA of Clavulina sp. PMI_390, 106 nucleotides long. NCBI's taxonomy places the organism in Eukaryota, Fungi, Basidiomycota, Agaricomycetes, Cantharellales, Hydnaceae. The record is from the annotation of a GenBank genome assembly.